CUUCAAAUAGGUUUGGGCCAUGUUAUCAACAAUAAGGGUGAAAAGAUUAUGAAGGAAAUAAACCAGCUUCAAGAAAAGGGAGUGCAUUUAAUGGAAGAAAAUGAACGAUUAAGACAGCAGGU
Long non-coding RNA from Ipomoea nil (Japanese morning glory), 122 nucleotides. RefSeq lists it as uncharacterized. The transcript is spliced from 3 exons. The record is from RefSeq and is a predicted model, not a curated record. NCBI's taxonomy places the organism in Eukaryota, Viridiplantae, Streptophyta, Magnoliopsida, Solanales, Convolvulaceae.